GGGAGUGUAGCUCAGUGGUAGAGUGCUUGCCUACCAUGCAUAAGGCCCCGGGUUUGAUCCCCAGCACUGUCA
Molecule: transfer RNA, 72 nt
Filed under: Ictidomys tridecemlineatus (thirteen-lined ground squirrel)
Lineage: Eukaryota; Metazoa; Chordata; Mammalia; Rodentia; Sciuridae
Description: Spermophilus tridecemlineatus (thirteen-lined ground squirrel) tRNA
Rfam family: tRNA
About the family: Transfer RNA (tRNA) molecules are approximately 80 nucleotides in length. Their secondary structure includes four short double-helical elements and three loops (D, anti-codon, and T loops). Further hydrogen bonds mediate the characteristic L-shaped molecular structure. tRNAs have two regions of fundamental functional importance: the anti-codon, which is responsible for specific mRNA codon recognition, and the 3' end, to which the tRNAs corresponding amino acid is attached (by aminoacyl-tRNA synthetases). tRNAs cope with the degeneracy of the genetic code in two manners: having more than one tRNA (with a specific anti-codon) for a particular amino acid; and 'wobble' base-pairing, i.e. permitting non-standard base-pairing at the 3rd anti-codon position.
Source: Rfam by way of RNAcentral